This 259-nucleotide ribosomal RNA is filed under the name Trichonephila antipodiana. RNAcentral's name for it is "partial 12S ribosomal RNA". Lineage: Eukaryota; Metazoa; Arthropoda; Arachnida; Araneae; Nephilidae. The record is from RNAcentral.
AACCUGCUAAAUAAUCGAUAAUCCACGCUAUUUUUCACUUUUGUUUAAAUUUUAUAUACCUCCAUUUUAAGAAUUUAUCUUCACGAUUUUUUUUCCAAAAAGAUUUCCUAAAAAAUUAGGUAAAGGUGUAGACCACAUAAAAGUUUUAGUGGGUUACUUUAAAAGAAAUUUAAGGAAAAAGAAAAAAAUUUCUUUUAAAAAAAGGAUUUAUAAGUAAUAUUUAAAUAAUAAUUAAAUUUGAAAAUGAUAAAAAAUGUGC